UAGAUUUUUAUCUAAAUGCUUCUUCAGGAAGAUUAUCUCUUCGGCUAUAUGCUCGGGUGGUGAUUUGUUACCGAUUACAAUUGUUUCGGUUAUCUUUUUCAUCACCAGAUAUGGUUUCACGUUUGUGACCCACCCGACGUAAUUUUCGCCAGUUAUUUUCAGGGCCGGGAACUGGAAUUUCUCGAUGUUUGCCAUUUGUAUUUCUAAAACACAAAAUAAAAUAUUUUAUUAGAAUUUCGUAAUUUUAAAACGAACCAUUUAUAUUGAUAAUACACGCAAUUACAAGGAGAAGCAACGCAUAGAAAAGUAAACCGACAUUAAGCGCAAAUUCUCCAGGAGCAAAUUCUCCAAUAAAAAGACCAUACAUAGAAGCAAAAAUAAAAAUUGCACAUAAGGCAAAAAAUAUGCGAAUCAUCUUUCUUGAAAUGAAAAAAAAUCGGAGGAGAGCGA
RNAcentral lists this long non-coding RNA (450 nucleotides) under Brassica napus (rape). Its description in RNAcentral is "long non-coding RNA (BNAP_LNC014019)". The record is from RNAcentral. Lineage: Eukaryota; Viridiplantae; Streptophyta; Magnoliopsida; Brassicales; Brassicaceae.